RNAcentral lists this ribosomal RNA (560 nucleotides) under uncultured Glomus. RNAcentral's name for it is "SSU rRNA". It matches the Rfam family "Eukaryotic small subunit ribosomal RNA", at positions 546 to 1106 of the family's 1831-position model. The record is from RNAcentral. Lineage: Eukaryota; Fungi; Glomeromycota; Glomeromycetes; Glomerales; Glomeraceae.
AAUUGGAGGGCAAGUCUGGUGCCAGCAGCCGCGGUAAUUCCAGCUCCAAUAGCGUAUAUUAAAGUUGUUGCAGUUAAAAAGCUCGUAGUUGAAUUUCGGGAUCAAUAUUUCGGUCAUGCCGUUGGUAUGCACUGUUAUCAUUGAUUUCUCACCUUCUAAAGAACCGUAAUGCCAUUAAUUUGGUGUUACGGGGAAUUAGGACUGUUACCUUGAAAAAAUUAGAGUGUUUAAAGCAGGCUCACGCUUGAAUACAUUAGCAUGGAAUAAUAAAAUAGGACAUCCGAUUCUAUUUUGUUGGUUUCUAGGAUCGAUGUAAUGAUUAAUAGGGAUAGUUGGGGGCAUUAGUAUUCAAUUGUCAGAGGUGAAAUUCUUGGAUUUAUUGAAGACUAACUACUGCGAAAGCAUUUGCCAAGGAUGUUUUCAUUAAUCAAGAACGAAAGUUAGGGGAUCGAAGACGAUCAGAUACCGUCGUAGUCUUAACCAUAAACUAUGCCGACUAGGGAUCGGAUGAUGUUAAUUUUUUAAUGACUCAUUCGGCGCCUUACGGGAAACCAAAGUGU